CAAGGAGACCAUGAGUGCAGCAGGUAGCAGGAGGGAAAAGUCACGUUGGAAUCUCCCUGAGAGGGAUGCUGGAAAGGUCAAGUGAGCUCAGAGACCCUGCCAGAUGCAGAAAGCUUCCUUCAUGGCAGCACAAAUAGUUUCCAUUUCCCAGUCAAGAGCCAGCAUCCAAGACGAGCUUCUGAUUUGACACUGAAUGAAACAAAAGAUGGCCCAGAACUCAAUGGAAGCCAGGAAAUGGAGGCGCAAUUGCCAGAAAAUCUCUGCAACAUCCCAGAAAUCCCCAUGGGCAGAGAAGGCAGUUAAAGGUCUAAAAAAAAAUGACUUAAUCCUUCUUGAAGUCUCUCAGCACCAAGCAGGCAAUAACCGUGUCCCAUUCAUCUUUGGGUUUCUCCAGUCUUUGGUAAGAGAGGGUGACAAGUGAGUGCUGAAUGGGGGAAUAAAGAGAGAAUGAAUUAACA
This 458-nucleotide long non-coding RNA is filed under the name Bos indicus x Bos taurus (hybrid cattle). Its description in RNAcentral is "lncRNA (ENSBIXG00005003557.1)". Lineage: Eukaryota; Metazoa; Chordata; Mammalia; Artiodactyla; Bovidae. The record is from RNAcentral.